UACGUAGGGUGCGAGCGUUGUCCGGAAUUCUUGGGCGUAAAGGGCUCGUAGGCGGUUUGUCGCGUCGGGAGUGAAAACCCAGGGCUUAACUCUGGGCUUGCUUUCGAUACGGGCAGACUAGAGGUAUGCAGGGGAGAACGGAAUUCCUGGUGUAGCGGUGAAAUGCGUAGAUAUCUGGAGGAACACCGGUGGCGAAGGCGGCGUUCUGGACUGCUACUGACACUGAGGAACGAAAGCCAGGGGAGCAAACGGG
This 253-nucleotide ribosomal RNA is filed under the name uncultured bacterium. RNAcentral describes it as "partial 16S ribosomal RNA". It matches the Rfam family "Bacterial small subunit ribosomal RNA", at positions 524 to 776 of the family's 1533-position model. The record is from RNAcentral.